Molecule: long non-coding RNA, 1090 nt
Filed under: Actinidia chinensis (golden kiwifruit)
Lineage: Eukaryota; Viridiplantae; Streptophyta; Magnoliopsida; Ericales; Actinidiaceae
Description: long non-coding RNA (ACHI_LNC009096)
Source: RNAcentral
UGGGCUUGACUUCCAUUGGGUUGGGCCUCCAAUUGGGCUUUCUUCCAAUUGGGCUGGAUUCCCAACAAAAGAAGCUGGUGCCUGUUCGCAUGAAAUGAAUACUCCACAAUAUGAAUUGGCUCGAUCCAAUACCUCAUCCAUUGCAUCUCAUCAAAAUCUCUACGAGACAUCAUUCGAUAUGCAACAUUAGAAGCUGGAAUGCAUUAGUUAAUCAAGUUUAACAGGUCUAUGGACUUUGAUGGACGACAUUGCCGUCUCAUGUUGCAUUUCUCUUUGUUGGUUUCAUUUAGGGGUGAGCACGGGUAGAUUUGGAUUUGGCAUAAUUCUGGCAUGCGAUCAGAACUAUUCGGGGUAAAGCUUAAACAAAACUGAUUUUGACCGCUUCACUACAAAAACUGUCUGAAAAUAGCUGUUUCAGAUAUCGGGUGGGUGUAAUGAGCUAGGAACUUCAAUGGUGUCUCUUGGCUGAGGAAGAAAGAGGAAGUCUCAACAGUGACUAAAUACUAAAAAGGAAAAAAGAAAAAAAUAUAUAGAUUAAAGACGAUCUAAGGGUAAGGAAUGAGGGAAAUCACAUAUAGUUGGAAUCAUCGAGAGAAUUGGAGAGGGAGGGACGAAAUCACAAAGAGGGGGAGAGAAACGGGGAGAGAGAUUUGGUUUAGAGAGAGAAUAUUUGGUCAAUUCAAAUUAGUUGGAGUUGGGCAGUUGGGUGCUAAAAGGUGGAUGCCAACUUGUGAAAAGAUGAGAUGUAAUCAGGGUUCCAAUAAUACACUGCCAUAUGAAAUAAUAAAUAUUACUAAUGCUGUAAAUUAUUAGUCGGGUCAAUUUACAUGGGUUGUAUUGAAACUCCAGUUUUGGUUAGAUGUCCACCUGAACUUGACCGUUGCUAAUUUUGAAAUUGACUGCAGUCAUUUGGGUUUGUUUGUAUCAGACGGGUUUGGCUGAAUAAUUAUUGAGAUAUGGCUGGCCAUAAUUCCAACUAUGCCAGAAUUUUCAAAUCAGGAUUUUAAAAGAGAUUGGAGGUUCAAUAUUAACAUCUAGCAUUUUUACUUACGAGGCAUUUCGCGUGGUUGUCUGCUUCUUAACUGCUUAA